Molecule: ribosomal RNA, 477 nt
Filed under: uncultured anaerobic ammonium-oxidizing bacterium
Lineage: Bacteria
Description: bacterial SSU rRNA
Rfam family: Bacterial small subunit ribosomal RNA
Source: RNAcentral
UUCGCAAUGCCCGAAAGGGUGACGAAGCGACGCCGCGUGCGGGAAGAAGGCCUUCGGGUUGUAAACCGCUGUCGGGAGUUAGGAAAUGCAAGGAUGUUAAUAGCAUUCUUGCUUGACUAAGGCUCCGGAGGAAGCCACGGCUAACUCUGUGCCAGCAGCCGCGGUAAUACAGAGGCGGCAAGCGUUGUUCGGAAUUAUUGGGCGUAAAGAGCACGUAGGCGGCCGUGUAAGUCGGUUGUGAAAGCCUUCCGCUCAACGGAAGGACGGCAUCCGAUACUGCAUGGCUCGAGUGCGGGAGGGGAGAGUGGAACUUCUGGUGGAGCGGUGAAAUGCGUAGGUAUCAGAAGGAACACCGGCGGCGAAAGCGGCUCUCUGGCCCGUAACUGACGCUGAGUGUGCGAAAGCUAGGGGAGCAAACGGGAUUAGAUACCCCGGUAGUCCUAGCCGUAAACGAUGGGCACUAAGUAGAGGGGUUUU